RNAcentral lists this long non-coding RNA (4933 nucleotides) under Triticum aestivum (bread wheat). RNAcentral describes it as "long non-coding RNA (TAES_LNC017290)". The record is from RNAcentral. Lineage: Eukaryota; Viridiplantae; Streptophyta; Magnoliopsida; Poales; Poaceae.
GAGGCCCAAGUGGCCAAGGAGUGCAGCGGCUCGUUAUCCUUCCACCGUUGGAAGCAGGCAGUUGUCGCUGCUCUGUGAAGCCAGCCUCACGCUGUGCCUGCCACAUUAUGGACCGUGAGGCCCAGCUUUCGCAUAGGCCCCAGGCGGUCCACUACGCAACUUGGAACGGGCGGGCCAGCAGUAGCACACCCAGACCAGGCCCGCAGCGCUACAACAGCGUCCACAUCACUUUCAUGCCCCCACUCGGGUUACAAGCUCUCGUAACUAAGCUCGGCGAGUGAAGAGAGUGGAGCCGGGUAUUUAAGUCGGUCGAACGCCUCCACGGUUAGCGAGGUGGGACUAAAGAAAGAGGAGUGCUGUGCUUCUGCUUUUUUUAGGGGUGUUGUGCAUCUGCUGGGAAAUGAGGUGGAGCGUUGUGGACUGAAAGAAGUUUUUGGCGUGGGCUUCUGUGGCUUCGCCGUUUGUCGUUUUGGGCUCAUGAGUCAUGAAACGUGGUCAUGUGGACAUUGGGCAGCCAUUCCGUGGUUUUGAACGAGUGCUAAUUAGCAGAAAUGAAAACAAUAUUAAAUUGCUGCAUGUUUGAAGCUGGGAGUAAGAAAUAUUUUAUUUCUAAAAUCCCAACGCAUGUCAAUGGGAUAAACAGUACAAUCUCUCUAUCCAAAAGUGACAGCUAGUAAAAAAUUCGAUGUGAAAGGUUAAUUAGUGAAGAGAGAGAUUAAAUGGCUCGCUCCAUCAUUUGCGCAACAGCAACUUCCACCUGUUCUUCUCUCCUCUGCCUUGUACACUAAUAUUCUCUUAUUGAGUUAAAUACACCACGAGUGCCUUAACUUGUCCUGUGCGGUCAGUUUGAUGCCUAAAGUUGUAAAAUACAUAAAAAUGAUACUGAAACUUGUCCGAACCUGCAAAUACGGUGCCUCCUAUCCUAUCCGGGUGUACGCCAUGCCCAUGUGGUGCGCCAGCGUGGCGAUGGCCCGCAUGUAAUUGCUUUUCUUAAUACUGGAUAUGCAUCCUUGCACACUUCAAUGACAAUAUAUUUGUUUGGUGUUACCAUAUAAAAAUUCUAUUUUUUGGUGCACCCAAAUUCUUCACAUGUUAUCGUAUUGAGGGAGACUUAGGGAAUAUGCUAGUGCAUUUGAAAAAAAAAUGUUCAACAUGUUCUUGAAAAAUGUUUCACGUACAUUAUAAAAUUGUAAUUGUGAUUUUGAAUGAUGUUUGUGAUGCAUUAAAAAAAUUGACAACAUGUACUUCAAAGAAUGAAGAUUCUUACUGCAUGUAAAGCUGCCUCAUAUUUGACGGGUGCAUCGUCAAGUAGACACCAUCAGAUUCUUACUGCAUGAAGCCAUCGACGAGUCUUAUGAACGAGGCAUCGUCGAGUUCAGAAGAUGAAACAUCUGACGACGAGAGCGAAUCGGGAGUCUGGUGGUGAUAAGAAUGAGGACCAAAAGGAUGCAAGACGAGCAACUGACAAAAAGUGAGAACGAACCAGACCAGCAUCCAUGCCGCCCACACCGUGAUGUACAGAAGAGAAGGAAAUUCCUCAAACAGAUCAAUAUAGUUACACUGUGAGCAGUUUACAACGAAUCCUAAUAUGCAUAGAGUCCGUCACAUUCACUGUGAUCCAGAACUGGAAGCUGCGAUGUAGUCCUGAGGGGCACCGACGCAACGGAGUGCAUCACGAUGUGCGCUAUCCUCAGAUUUAUUUGCCCACGACACGACAAUGGCCGAACUGCGCUCCGCCUUUCACCCUUGUAAACUCUGACGUGUACGCGCGCUGGAUGAGUCUCGACGGCAUGAAGCGCGUCUUCUGGAUGACCGGAAACUACAAGUCCCACCCCGACGACGGCUACGACAAGACGGCCGUGCCCGUGGUGGAGAACAUCAGUUACCAGGACAUGGUGGCCACCGGCGUGUGGAAGGAGGCGGCGAGGAUGCUGGGCAUCCAGGGCACGCCCUUCAAGGGGGUCUGCAUGGCCAACGCCACCGCCGAGAUGACCAAGGAGAGGAAGGUGUCGUGGAACUACGCCGACGUCACCCCGACGCCAUGCGCGCCGCUGCAGGGCACCCACAGCGGAGCAUGCCCAUUCACCACCGACAUGCUCGUCAUCGACCAAAUUGUCGUGCCUCAAUGCUCCUACAGUCCUACUCCCUCGCACCUGCUACUUCUGUGGCUGGGAGCUUGGAACAGAGUAGCUCAACUAUGUUAUAUCCAGCCUCUUGCUGCACCAAGUGAUGAGGCUAUUGGAUCUCUAUGAUUGAGAGUAGUAACAAUAAGGAGCGUGUAGUCGAGUGGCUGCCUUGGUAACUUUAGAAGUAAAAAAGGUUGUUGUGAGUAAGUUACUUACCGUUUCAAUGCAUACGCAGUUGUAAAUUCAUAAAUGUCACUUUGUUGUAAUCAUCAGUGGUUAUUCUAGACCUUGCAGGGCAGACUGUCAAAGUGCUGUUUUGUUGCCAUAUUAUCGGAUAGAAAAAAAAAGUGAAGCACAAUUUAUAUUGAAGAGUCAAAAGAGAAGCAAAUGGACCUCUUAUGUGCAGCACAAAAACUUUGUCAAAAGGAAUAAUACUCACAAAUUGUAUUCAAGAGUCAAAAGAGUAAGCAAUUAAAUCUUUUAUGUGCAGCAAAAAUAUAUAUUCAUAAAUUAUAUUGGAGAGUCACAGUCUAUACUCAAGAGUAAAAAAUGUAAGCAAAUAAACCUCUUGUGUUCAGAAAUAAAAGGAAUACUCUCAAUUUAUAUUCAAGAGUCACGAUUUAUACUGAAGAGUCAAAAUUGUAAGCAAUUAAAACUUUACUAAUGUGUAUUAUACUCAAGUCAAAAGAGUAAGGAAAUAAACCUCUUACGUUUUUUAGGAGAAAAUAAACCUCUUAUGUGCAGCACAAAAAAUGAAAUACGCUCAAUUUAUAUUGAAGAGUCAAAAAAGUAAGCAAAAAUACUUUUAUACGCAGCACCGAGAAAAAAAAAGUGAUGGUUCACUGGAGUAGGCUGCGAGGCCCAAGCGGCCAAGGAGUGCAGCGGCCCGUUAUCCUUCCACCGUUGGAAGCGGGCAGUUGUCGCUGCUCUGUGAAGCCAGCCUCACGCUGUGCCUGCCACAUUAUGGACCGUGAGGCCCAGCUUUCGCAUAGGCCCCAGCGGUCCACUACGCAACUUGGAACGGGCGGGCCUGCAGUAGCACACCCGGACCAGGCCCGCAGCGCUACAACAGCGUCCACAUCACCUUAAUGCCCCCACUCGGGUUACAAGCUCUCGUAACUGAGCUCGGCGAGUGAAGAGAGUGGAGACGGGUAUUUAAGCUGGUCGAACCCCUCCUCGGUUGGCGAGGUGGGACUAAAGAAAGAGGAGUGCCGUGCUUCCUGCUGGGAGUGGGAGAUGUUUUCAGCGUGGGCUUUGGCAGCUUUGGCAUUUGUCGUUUUGGGCUCAUGGACGUGGCCAUGUGGGCAAGGCUUUGGCAGCCAUUCGUGGAUUUUAGUGCUAAUUAGCAUAGUGAACCUGAUUAGCAGACAUGGAAACAAGUAUAAAUUGCUGCAUGAUUAAAGCUGGGACUAAGAAAUAUUUUACUUGUAUAAGAAUCCCAAACGCAUAUCAGUUGGAAAAACUGUAUACAGUCUCUAUAUCUUGAGUUAUAAGAUUAUUAAGGGCAUUCCCAAUGCGACGAGAGAGACUAGUUCUGUAUCUUGUCGAUGAUACAAGUCUUCGACUGAAGCAUCGUCAAGUACACCAUCGGAUGCAGGUGGCUCAACAAGCAGUUCUCUUUUCGAGGGGACGUUUAUCAGAAGCAAUUUUUGGCAUCAGCAUGAAGUCAUCGAGGAGUCUCAUGAACGAUGCAUCGUCGAGUUCAGACGAUGAAACAUCUAACGACGAGAGCGAAUCGGGUGAUAAACAACCUGGUAUGGUAGUGAUCAAAAUGAGGACCAGAGGAUGCAAGACAAGAAGAUCAAAGCACGAAACCAUAGCAUAUCAUCAUCUAUGAAGUCCACACGAUGAUGUGCAGACACAGGAGCAACUUUCUCAAACUGGUAAGGACAGGUACACAGGGGGAACGGUUUACAACAAAUCCUAAGAUGUAUAGAGUCACUGACAUUUACUUAAGCAAAUAAACCUCUUGUAUGCAGCACACAAAAAUUACUCACAAUUUAUAUUCAAGAGUCAAAAGAGUAAGCUAAUAAACCUCCUAUGUGCAGCAAAAAAAAUAUAAUCCAUUAUUUAUAUUCAAGAGUCACAAUUUAUACUCAAGAGUCAUAAGUGUAAACAAAUAAACUUUCUAUGUUUAGCAUAAAAACUCACAAUUUAUAUUCAAUGGUCACAAUUUAUACUCAAGUCAAAAGAGUAAGCAAAUAAAUGUCUUACGUGCAACACAAAAAAUGAGGAAAAUCUCAUACGCAGCACAACAAUUUAUACUCAAGUCAAAAGAGUAAGAAAAUAAACGUCUUACGUGCAACACAAAAAAUGAAAAUACUCUCAUAUGCAGCAAAAAAAAUGAUGGUCCGUUGGAGUAGGCUGCGAGGCCCAAGUGGCCUAGGAGUGCAGCGGCCCGUUAUCCUUCCACCCAAUUUAUACUCAAGUCAAAAUAGUAAGAACAUAAACAUCCUACGUGCAACACAAAAAAAUAAAAAUACUCUCAUAUGCAGCACAAAAGAAAAGUGAUGGUCCGUUGGAGUAGGCUGCGAGGCCCAAUUGGCCUAGGAGUGCAGCGGCCCAUUAUCCUUCCACCGUUGGAAGCGGGCAGUUGUCGCUGCUCUGUGAAGCCAGCCUCACGCUGUGCCUGCCACAUUAUGGACCGUGAGACCCAGCUUUCGCAUAGGCCCCAGGCGGUCCACUACGCAACUUGGAACGGGCGGGCCAGCAGUAGCACACCCAGACCAGGCCCGCAGCGCUACAACAGCGUCCACAUCACUUUAAUGCCCCUACUCGGGUUACAAGCUCUCGUAACUGAGCUCGGC